AAUAUACUGUGCUUAUUACCACUACACUUGGUACAAGCUAGCGGAAAAAUUAUCCCACGCUAAGGUUCAAAAUAUGCCUUUUGAAAUACCCUGGGAUGUCUUCUUUAAGGAAUGGUAUGCCUUUAUGGUGUAGCUGGAAUAUGUAGCCUGCUCAAGUGCUCCAAAAUGGGACACGGACAUAUCAAAACCCUCCAUGAAAAUUCACACUUGAAAACCUGAACUUGUCACGUCUCUUUUACAACACUGUAACUUCACAAAAUAGUGUCUAGAUCAUACAUUGGGCAUAUUGUUUUACUCAGAUUUUAUAACAGUGGUACAUAUCAAGUGUGAGAAAAAUGCAACAUGUAUGUAAAAAUGCAACGGUUUCCCCUCACCAAACAUUGACAUAAAUUGGUGAAAAAAUGGUGGCAAGUUAAGGCACAAUAUAUGCCAUAUAAGAUACCCCUGGGUGUCUACUUUAUCAAAUGGAAGCAUUUUGUGGAGUUUGUGGAGUUAUCUGAAUACUCACACUGAUAUAAAUACCCCAAAUUGAGACAUAUGCCGUCAAUGAAAAUUCUAACUAUAAAAACUGAAAUAGCGUUGUCUCCUAUAUGGCAUUGUAGCCAGGGGCGGACUGACCACUCGGGCACUUCGGUCAUGGACCGAGGGCCCGAGGCAGUCAGGGGCCCGGCAGCACAGCC
Molecule: non-coding RNA, 680 nt
Organism: Pelobates cultripes (western spadefoot toad)
Lineage: Eukaryota; Metazoa; Chordata; Amphibia; Anura; Pelobatidae
Source: the annotation of a GenBank genome assembly